CCUACGGGGGACAGCAGUGGGGAAUAUUGCACAAUGGGGGAAACCCUGAUGCAGCGACGCCGCGUGAGUGAAGAAGUAAUUCGUUAUGUAAAGCUCUAUCAGCAGGGAAGUAAAUGACGGUACCUGAGUAAGAAGCAACGGCUAACUCCGUGCCAGCAGCCGCGGCAAUACGUAGGCGGCAAGCGUUAUCCGGAUUUACUGGGUGUAAAGGGGGCGUAGACGGCAGUGUAAGUGUGGAGUGAAAGGCGGAGGCUCAACCCCCGGACUGCUCUGGAAACUGUACGGCUGGAGUGCAGUAGAGGUAGGUGGAAUUCCUAGUGUAGCGGUGAAAUGCAUAGAUAUUAGAAGGAACACCAGUGGCGAAGGCGGCUUACUAGACUGUAACUGACGUUGAGGCUCGAAAGCGUGGGGAGCAAACAGGAUUAGAUACCCUAGUAGUC
Molecule: ribosomal RNA, 440 nt
Filed under: uncultured bacterium
Lineage: Bacteria
Description: partial 16S ribosomal RNA
Rfam family: Bacterial small subunit ribosomal RNA
Source: RNAcentral